CCUGAUGCAGCGACGCCGCGUGAGGGAUGACGGCCUCAGGGUUGUAAACCUCUUUCAGUAGGGAAGAAGCGAAAGUGACGGUACCUGCAGAAGAAGCACCGGCUAACUACGUGCCAGCAGCCGCGGUAAUACGUAGGGUGCGAGCGUUAUCCGGAAUUAUUGGGCGUAAAGAGCUCGUAGGCGGUUUGUCGCGUCUGUCGUGAAAGUCCGGGGCUUAACCCCGGAUCUGCGGUGGGUACGGGCAGACUAGAGUGCAGUAGGGGAGACUGGAAUUCCUGGUGUAGCGGUGGAAUGCGCAGAUAUCAGGAGGAACACCGAUGGCGAAGGCAGGUCUCUGGGCUGUAACUGACGCUGAGGAGCGAAAGCAUGGGGAGCGAACAGGAUUAGAUACCCUGGUAGUCCAUGCCGUAAACGUUGGGCACUAGGUGUGGGGACCAUUCCACGGUUUCCGCGCCGCAGCUAACGCAUUAAGUGCCCCGCCUGGGGAGUACGGCCGCAAGGCUAAAACUCAAAGGAAUUGACGGGGGCCCGCACAAGCGGCGGAGCAUGCGGAUUAAUUCGAUGCAACGCGAAGAACCUUACCAAGGCUUGACAUGUUCUCGAUCGCCGUAGAGAUACGGUUUCCCCUUUGGG
RNAcentral lists this ribosomal RNA (633 nucleotides) under Micrococcus sp. So2Pt_164. RNAcentral describes it as "bacterial SSU rRNA". It matches the Rfam family "Bacterial small subunit ribosomal RNA", at positions 382 to 1024 of the family's 1533-position model. The record is from RNAcentral. Lineage: Bacteria; Bacillati; Actinomycetota; Actinomycetes; Micrococcales; Micrococcaceae.